CGUUGAAACACCGGUUCCCGUAUGAUCACCGAAGUUAAGCCAAGUCGAGCCUGGUCAUUAUGUCGAUGGGUGACCGCUUUGAGAUAUUAGGUGC
This is a non-coding RNA of Acanthosepion pharaonis, 94 nucleotides long. The record is from the annotation of a GenBank genome assembly. Lineage: Eukaryota; Metazoa; Mollusca; Cephalopoda; Sepiida; Sepiidae.